CAUGUAAUCUGCAUUUGAUCUGGGAAGACCUGAAGGCUUUAGCUGGGCCAGGAGGAGGACCGGGGACCUGUUUGUACUGAGGAGUUAGACCUUUUGCUUGUCCUCACUGUGACAAAAAAUUUCGAACCUCAGGCCAUAGGAAGACUCACAUUGCUUCCCACUUUAAACAUACGGAAUUAAGGAAAA
Molecule: small RNA, 186 nt
Filed under: Pongo abelii (Sumatran orangutan)
Lineage: Eukaryota; Metazoa; Chordata; Mammalia; Primates; Hominidae
Description: processed transcript
Source: RNAcentral